This 1367-nucleotide long non-coding RNA is filed under the name Nicotiana tabacum (common tobacco). RNAcentral's name for it is "long non-coding RNA (NTAB_LNC009901)". The record is from RNAcentral. Lineage: Eukaryota; Viridiplantae; Streptophyta; Magnoliopsida; Solanales; Solanaceae.
UCUUCUUCUUCUUCUUCUUCUUCGAUUUUUCUCCAAGCCACAGACAAACAACAUCAGAUAGAGACAAUAUCGGACCCCUCCCUAAUCUGCGCCAUUCCAUCCCCUUCUUCCUCCUCUCAUCUCAUCUCACUCAACAACCGGAGAUUUCCCUCCCCUGAACGAAAGAAAACCAAGCAGCUUUAUCGACCAUCUCUCCAAACCUUAACAACCAGCAGCCUCAACGAUUCCCUCUUUCUACUUCCACACUUCACGCCUACUAGCCAAACAGCUACCAUCUCCUCUACUCUAGAAAUACACCCACACACGAGACAGCGAAGGAGGGAUUCUGCAAUUGGAAAGUUCCAAAAGCAGAUUCGGAAAUAAAUAAUAAAAAUCCCUGAUAAGCCAAAACAGAUAGGGAUUUCGGAAUGGAUUUUGAGAAGAAUUAAUUACUGGAAAUUUAAGGUUCAAAUCUUGGUUUUCUUCUAGAUUGUGAAGCGUUGAAAGCUGGGAUUGGGAACUGGCCGAUUACGCUGCGUCCAGUAGCUGAGUUCCGGCAUUACAUUCGUUUCUUCAGCCUCUACUUUGGCUUUCAAUUUUUAUUUGUUUCAGGUAUGAACCUCGAUUCAAAGUGCUGUAAUUGUUGUUAGAUUCUCCAUACGCUGAAAUUUGCAAUGACAAUUCUCUUGUUUUCUCUUAAAUUCAUCAUUGUUAAGUUUAAGUUUGAAUUAUUGUUUGCUGAAAUUUGCAAUAAACUUUCCCUUAUUUCUCUGAAAAGUUCAUCACUGUUAAGUGCAAGUUUGAAUUAGUGUUGAACUAUUUUGACGCAAAGAGUUAGAAUUAUUGGUUCAUCACUGUUAAGUGCAAGUGAAUGUAUCUUUUCGUAUGAUUAUUGGUUUCAAUUAGCCUAUAAUAGUGUUACCCAUGCUAGUGGUAGAGGUACCAAGUCUGUUGGGUAAUUUUUAUGUUCUCAAAUUUUUAUGUUCGACUUCUGCUCUCAGUAAUGUGCUUUCCUGAUAAUAAUCCUUUUGUUACUGUUAUUAGUUUUUUUCCCCAAUAUUUGUUACUGUUAUUGACCUUUCUCUAUAGGAUAGGUUUUGUUAUCAAUCAUGUGUGGAAACACAAAAUUAGGAGGAAACUAAAGAAAAACUGUUAAAAGGAAAAACUGGAACAAAAAACAAUAAACAAUAAGAAAUAUUCCGAGUCCACAAUUUUCUUGUGCGUCCUUAAGGAAUUUUAACCCCCUCACACGUUCCCAAGGUAAUGGAUUAAAUCCUCCCAGGAUAAAACGGAAUAAACAUUCCUGCAACAAUGGCAAUACAACCUGCAAGAUAUCAACGAACUCAAAGAACGGAGCAAAAUCAUACUUACGAAUUUGAGAGAGAGAG